This 496-nucleotide ribosomal RNA is filed under the name uncultured bacterium. Its description in RNAcentral is "partial 16S ribosomal RNA". It matches the Rfam family "Bacterial small subunit ribosomal RNA", at positions 28 to 507 of the family's 1533-position model. The record is from RNAcentral.
GACGAACGCUGGCGGCGUGCCUAAUACAUGCAAGUUGAGCGCUGAAGGUUGGUACUUGUACCAACUGGAUGAGCAGCGAACGGGUGAGUAACGCGUGGGGAAUCUGCCUUUGAGCGGGGGACAACAUUUGGAAACGAAUGCUAAUACCGCAUAAAAACUUUAAACACAAGUUUUAAGUUUGAAAGAUGCAAUUGCAUCACUCAAAGAUGAUCCCGCGUUGUAUUAGCUAGUUGGUGAGGUAAAGGCUCACCAAGGCGAUGAUACAUAGCCGACCUGAGAGGGUGAUGGGCCACAUUGGGACUGAGACACGGCCCAAACCCCUAAGGGAGGCAGCAGUAGGGAAUCUUGGGCAAUGGGCGAAAGCCUGACGGAGCAAAGCCGCGGGAGGGAAGAAGGUUUUCGGAUCGUAAAACUCUGUUGGUAGGGAAGAACGUUGGUGGAAGUGAAAAGCCCCGUAAUGACGGGAACUUACCAGAAAAGGAACGGCAACUUCCUG